Molecule: unclassified non-coding RNA, 398 nt
Filed under: Hevea brasiliensis (rubber tree)
Lineage: Eukaryota; Viridiplantae; Streptophyta; Magnoliopsida; Malpighiales; Euphorbiaceae
Source: RNAcentral
GGAUCAAUGGAUCGCAACCUCCGUAUAUUUGGCCUGCCUGGGGAUGAUGGUCAAACAGAGUGAUGCAAUGUGUGCAAGUUGCUUGAUUUGGAAGUGGGCUCUUGAUAUUCCUUGAAGUUGCUUUUAUUGCUUCUGUUGGGCUGUACUGUUUUGGCUGAUGAAGCAAAUGGUAGAACUUGAUUUCUCAUCAAUUGUGCAGAGUUGACCCUUCACUCAAUUUUCUAUUAAUGAAGCCAUGUGACUAGGUGCAGGGUCACCUGGGAUUGAAGAAGUGAAAUUGAAUAGCUAGUCAGUCCUAUUGUAUUAAAUUGUCAUUGGGAUUUCCAGAAAAUAGACCUUGCAUUUAAUCUACACCUUGAGAUUUUGCUUGCUACUUCAAUUCAUAUCCUUCUAAAUUU